UACGUAGGGUGCGAGCGUUAAUCGGAAUUACUGGGCGUAAAGGGUGCGCGGGUGGCUUGCCAAGACCCCUGUAAAAUCCUACGGCCCAACCGUAGCGCAGCGGAGGUUACUGGUAGGCUUGAGUAUGGCAGAGGGGGGUCGAAUUCCCAGGUGUAGCGGUGAAAUGCGUAGAGAUCUGGAGGAAGACCGAAGGCGAAGGCAACCCCCUGGGCCAUCACUGACACUGAGGCACGAAAGCGUGGGGAGCAAACAGGAUUAGAUACCCCCGUAGU
Molecule: ribosomal RNA, 272 nt
Filed under: Candidatus Tremblayella princeps
Lineage: Bacteria; Pseudomonadati; Pseudomonadota; Betaproteobacteria
Description: Candidatus Tremblaya princeps partial 16S ribosomal RNA
Rfam family: Bacterial small subunit ribosomal RNA
Source: RNAcentral